AAAGGUAAGCUACUAAGAGCGAAUGGUGGAUGCCUUGACUGGUAAAGGCGAUGAAGGACGUACUAGACUGCGAUAAGCUACGGGGAGCUGUCAAGAAGCUUUGAUCCGUAGAUUUCCGAAUGGGGCAACCCAAUGUAUAGAGAUAUACAUUACCUAUAUAGGAGCGAACGAGGGGAAUUGAAACAUCUUAGUACCCUCAGGAAAAGAAAUCAAUAGAGAUUGCGUCAGUAGCGGCGAGCGAAAGCGCAAGAGGGCAAACCCAGUGCUUGCACUGGGGGUUGUAGGACUGCAAUGUGCAAGAGGUGAGUUUAGCAGAACAUUCUGGAAAGUAUAGCCAUAGAGGGUGAUAGUCCCGUAUGCGAAAAACAAACCUUAGCUAGCAGUAUCCUGAGUAGGGCGGGACACGAGAAAUCCUGUCUGAAGCUGGGUCGACCACGAUCCAACCCUAAAUACUAAUACCAGAUCGAUAGUGCACAAGUACCGUGAGGGAAAGGUGAAAAGAACUGAGGUGAUCAGAGUGAAAUAGAACCUGAAACCAUUUGCUUACAAUCAUUCAGAGCCCUAUGUAGCAAUACAGGGUGAUGGACUGCCUUUUGCAUAAUGAGCCUGCGAGUUGUGGUGUCUGGCAAGGUUAAGCAAACGCGAAGCCGUAGCGAAAGCGAGUCUGAAUAGGGCGCUUAGUCAGAUGCUGCAGACCCGAAACGAAGUGAUCUAUCCAUGAGCAAGUUGAAGCUAGUGUAAGAACUAGUGGAGGACUGAACCCAUAGGCGUUGAAAAGCCCCGGGAUGACUUGUGGAUAGGGGUGAAAGGCCAAUCAAACUUCGUGAUAGCUGGUUCUCUCCGAAAUAU
Molecule: ribosomal RNA, 849 nt
Filed under: Campylobacter coli
Lineage: Bacteria; Pseudomonadati; Campylobacterota; Epsilonproteobacteria; Campylobacterales; Campylobacteraceae
Description: partial 23S ribosomal RNA
Rfam family: Bacterial large subunit ribosomal RNA
Source: RNAcentral